AUUCGGAUUGUCAAGAACCUCAGAGUCUGCCAAGAUUGCCAUCAUGUCACCAAACUUAUAUCCAAAGUAUAUGGGAGAGAAAUUAUUGUUAGAGAUCGAACAUGUUUCCAUUUGUUUAAGGAUGGCACCUGUUCGUGCAAGGACUAUUGGUAG
Molecule: ribosomal RNA, 153 nt
Filed under: Triticum aestivum (bread wheat)
Lineage: Eukaryota; Viridiplantae; Streptophyta; Magnoliopsida; Poales; Poaceae
Description: partial small subunit ribosomal RNA
Source: RNAcentral